GAUGAACGCUGGCGGCGUGCCUAAUACAUGCGAGUAGAACGCUGAAGGAAGGAGCUUGCUCUUUCCGGAUGAGUUGCGAACGGGUGAGUAACGCGUAGGUAACCUGCCUGGUAGCGGGGGAUAACUAUUGGAAACGAUAGCUAAUACCGCAUAACAGUAGAUGUUGCAUGAUAUCUACUUAAAAGGUGCAAUUGCACCACUACCAGAUGGACCUGCGUUGUAUUAGCUAGUUGGUGAGGUAACGGCUCACCAAGGCGACGAUACAUAGCCGACCUGAGAGGGUGAUCGGCCACACUGGGACUGAGACACGGCCCAGACUCCUACGGGAGGCAGCAGUAGGGAAUCUUCGGCAAUGGACGGAAGUCUGACCGAGCAACGCCGCGUGAGUGAAGAAGGUUUUCAGAUCGUAAAGCUCUGUUGUAAGAGAAGAACGAGUGUGAGAGUGGAAAGUUCACACUGUGACGGUAUCUUACCAGAAAGGGACGGCUAACUACGUG
RNAcentral lists this ribosomal RNA (497 nucleotides) under uncultured bacterium. Its description in RNAcentral is "partial 16S ribosomal RNA". It matches the Rfam family "Bacterial small subunit ribosomal RNA", at positions 28 to 507 of the family's 1533-position model. The record is from RNAcentral.